AUUGAACGCUGGCGGCAGGCCUAACACAUGCAAGUCGAGCGGAUGAAGGGAGCUUGCUCCUGGAUUCAGCGGCGGACGGGUGAGUAAUGCCUAGGAAUCUGCCUGGUAGUGGGGGAUAACGUCCGGAAACGGGCGCUAAUACCGCAUACGUCCUGAGGGAGAAAGUGGGGGAUCUUCGGACCUCACGCUAUCAGAUGAGCCUAGGUCGGAUUAGCUAGUUGGUGGGGUAAAGGCCUACCAAGGCGACGAUCCGUAACUGGUCUGAGAGGAUGAUCAGUCACACUGGAACUGAGACACGGUCCAGACUCCUACGGGAGGCAGCAGUGGGGAAUAUUGGACAAUGGGCGAAAGCCUGAUCCAGCCAUGCCGCGUGUGUGAAGAAGGUCUUCGGAUUGUAAAGCACUUUAAGUUGGGAGGAAGGGCAGUAAGUUAAUCCCUUGCUGUUUUGACGUUACCAACAGAAUAAGCACCGGCUAACUUCGU
This 483-nucleotide ribosomal RNA is filed under the name uncultured bacterium. Its description in RNAcentral is "partial 16S ribosomal RNA". It matches the Rfam family "Bacterial small subunit ribosomal RNA", at positions 30 to 506 of the family's 1533-position model. The record is from RNAcentral.